Non-coding RNA from Pelobates cultripes (western spadefoot toad), 557 nucleotides. The record is from the annotation of a GenBank genome assembly. NCBI's taxonomy places the organism in Eukaryota, Metazoa, Chordata, Amphibia, Anura, Pelobatidae.
CACAUUAAUGCAGUCGAGAAAUUAGUUCAGUGUGGAUGUCAGCAAGAUCAUGAAUACGGUGCAAAACUGUGUUGUUGGAAAGUGGUACAGCUUCAAUUGUUUUACUUAUCUUCUCACUUAAAAUACAUGACACUAUUCCUUUUGCACAUGGUUUUAUCAGUGAUUCUCUAAUUGUUUGUGCUUCUCCUGCAAGUUAUAUGUGGUAACUCAUUCUGUAAGUAGCCUCUGUGGCUUUUUCAUUAGUAUUUUGAAAUUUUUUGCUCAUAAAUUGUUUACUCUUCUGAUACUCUUUUAGCUUUCGCUUAAAGUCAAUGUCUUUAUCUUUGUACUUUGCGUGUUUUUUCUCAAAAUGAUGAUGUAAUUUAGCAGGUGCUUGGCAAUAUUUUAUUGUGCUUCAGGACAAUCUUCAUUUCUGGCAUUUGUGAAUCCAAAUGACAAGUAGCUAUCACCAUAUUUUCAUUUCUUUGAUUGAGAAGAAGAUUGGCUAGCAUUGUGUGCUUUUCUUUCUUUUUUUUUUUUUGACUUGUCACUUGUCUCUGCUAUUUGAGGAACAGUAG